GGUCAAGUUCACCCUGAAGCAGAAGGUUGGCCUGGGCGAGUGCUGGAAGAUCGUGGGUGAGUGCAGGCUGGUGCGGAGGCCAGCAAGGCCCACGGGCGUUGCGGAUUUCGCAGGAACGACCCGAAUGCAACGUCAUCAGCGCCGCCAAUGCCGUAGUUGCAUGUUCUGCACUGACUGGGGGCAAGGAUCCUGGUGUCUACCAGACGGGUGUUGCACUCGCUCCUGUACUCCUCUCAGACACCAGCUUCUAGCGUUUGUUUGCUUGGUUGUUCGGUUGCGUCUGUCUCACACAUUGCGUUGGUGGCGCUCUGUAUCCUCGUGGACACCACAGGUAUGUGCCCCGAGCUGGGCCGCAUGAAGCCCGAGGUGGCGCCCUACAUGCAGUGGACCAACGGGUAGGUGCUGAAUGCGGGCCCGGGGGGUGGUGCAGGGCAAGGUCUCACAGGGAAGGAGUGCCUCUUGUUCAACAUGGAGUGGCAUGGAGUUGCAUGGCCAAGCCAGUGCAUGGGGAGUUGCGAGUGCGGCCUGGGGAGGGUGAACGUUCGGG
RNAcentral lists this long non-coding RNA (547 nucleotides) under Chlamydomonas reinhardtii. RNAcentral's name for it is "long non-coding RNA (CREI_LNC000280)". Lineage: Eukaryota; Viridiplantae; Chlorophyta; Chlorophyceae; Chlamydomonadales; Chlamydomonadaceae. The record is from RNAcentral.